GGUUAAGUUAAUAAGGGCGCAUGGUGAAUGCCUUGGUACUAGGAGCCGAUGAAGGACGCAACUAACUGCGAUAAGCUUCGGGGAGCUGUACGUAAGCUUUGAUCCGGAGAUUUCCGAAUGAGGAAACUCGACCAGUGUUAUGACUGGUCACUGCAUAGUGAAUACA
RNAcentral lists this ribosomal RNA (166 nucleotides) under Fructilactobacillus sanfranciscensis. Its description in RNAcentral is "Lactobacillus sanfranciscensis partial 23S ribosomal RNA". It matches the Rfam family "Bacterial large subunit ribosomal RNA", at positions 1 to 166 of the family's 2925-position model. Lineage: Bacteria; Bacillati; Bacillota; Bacilli; Lactobacillales; Lactobacillaceae. The record is from RNAcentral.